UUGGAGGGCAAGUCUGGUGCCAGCAGCCGCGGUAAUUCCAGCUCCAAUAGCGUAUAUUAAAGUUGUUGCAGUUAAAAAGCUCGUAGUUGAAUUUCGAGACCGGCUUACUGGUCGUGCUAUUGUGCGUACUGGUAUAAUCGGUUUCUCCUUUCUGACGAACUAUAAUGCCAUUAAUUUGGUGUUAUAGGGAAUCAGGACUGUUACUUUGAAAAAAUUAGAGUGUUUAAAGCAGGCUCACGCUUGAAUACAUUAGCAUGGAAUAACGGAAUAGGACGUUUGAUUCUAUUUUGUUGGUUUCUAGGAUCGACGUAAUGAUUAAUAGGGAUAGUUGGGGGCAUUAGUAUUCAAUUGUCAGAGGUGAAAUUCUUGGAUUUAUUGAAGACUAACUACUGCGAAAGCAUUUGCCAAGGAUGUUUUCAUUAAUCAAGAACGAAAGUUAGGGGAUCGAAGACGAUCAGAUACCGUCGUAGUCUUAACCAUAAACUAUGCCGACUAGGGAUCGGAUGAUGUUAAUUUUUUAAUGACUCAUUCGGCGCCUUACGGGAAAC
This 548-nucleotide ribosomal RNA is filed under the name uncultured Glomus. RNAcentral describes it as "SSU rRNA". It matches the Rfam family "Eukaryotic small subunit ribosomal RNA", at positions 548 to 1098 of the family's 1831-position model. The record is from RNAcentral. Lineage: Eukaryota; Fungi; Glomeromycota; Glomeromycetes; Glomerales; Glomeraceae. RNAcentral also lists the same sequence under 1 other name.